This is an unclassified non-coding RNA of Macaca fascicularis (crab-eating macaque), 148 nucleotides long. It matches the Rfam family "Metazoan signal recognition particle RNA". Rfam says of the family: The signal recognition particle (SRP) is a universally conserved ribonucleoprotein. It is involved in the co-translational targeting of proteins to membranes. The eukaryotic SRP consists of a 300-nucleotide 7S RNA and six proteins: SRPs 72, 68, 54, 19, 14, and 9. The record is from Ensembl. Lineage: Eukaryota; Metazoa; Chordata; Mammalia; Primates; Cercopithecidae.
GCCGGGUGUGGUGGUGCACACCUGUAAUCCCAGCUACUCUGGAGGCUGAGGCAGGAGAAUUGCUUGAACCCGGGAGGCGGAGGUUGCAGUGAGCCGAGAUCAUGCCAUUGCACUCCAGCCUGGGCAACAGGGCAAGACUCUGUCUCUA